Long non-coding RNA from Photinus pyralis (common eastern firefly), 353 nucleotides. RefSeq lists it as uncharacterized. The transcript is spliced from 3 exons. The record is from RefSeq and is a predicted model, not a curated record. NCBI's taxonomy places the organism in Eukaryota, Metazoa, Arthropoda, Insecta, Coleoptera, Lampyridae.
AUCAGGAGCAGACUUCUUGGUUCAGAACCAUUUGGCUUACAGAAAGCAGCCGAUAUACUUCUAUUACUUUGACUACAUGGGAUCGGAAAGUUACGCAUCUCUGUAUAAUGAUACCAGCUUUGUUUGUGGAGCCAGCCAUACAGAUGAAUUAUUGUAUCUACUGUCUCGAAAUGUGGCUUUUCCGGGUUACAAGCCAACGUCAUUAGAUGAAAAAAUGACCACGACGAUGACAAGUUUAUGGUUUAACUUUGUUCGAUAUGGGAGUCCCACACCAGGAAAUGAAUCAGAGAUGCCGCUAUGGCGAAGGGUUGUCAGCAACAAUUUAGAAUAUUACCACAUUAAAGGACCGCGUA